CCUCCAGAGCCUUCAGCAGCUGCGCGUUCUCCACGUAGAGAUCCUUGACCAUGGCAUCUGCCUUGGUGUUCUUGGAAAGCUGCGUUGGGAAUGGGACACAGGCACUCAGCAAAUGGCAAAUAAAAACGCCAAAGGAAGGCAGCCAUUUGAGGAGAUAAAGUUUGAGAAAGCACCAACCCAAAAUAAAACACCUUCAAACCCAAACCCAUCCCACCUGUGGAGGAGGAUAAAUGAAAAUCUGCUUCAGGGUUCCUGUCAAGUUGUAAAGCACACGAGUAACUAAUGAGGAAACAGACAAUUAGUGUUAACAGCAUCUUAAAAAUAAUUACUAAUGAAACAACAAGGAAAACAAUAUAGCCCUGCUGUAUUCAUCUGUGGAAGAAAAUGGAACAACCAUGAGCUUGCUAAACUAUGAGGAUGAUGCCAAGUGGGAUCAGAAAUUAAUUAAUUUAAGGAAACAUUGGGCAGUCUGGUGGAAAAGCAUGCAGG
This is a long non-coding RNA of Vidua chalybeata, 489 nucleotides long. RefSeq lists it as uncharacterized. The transcript has 3 exons. The record is from RefSeq and is a predicted model, not a curated record. NCBI's taxonomy places the organism in Eukaryota, Metazoa, Chordata, Aves, Passeriformes, Viduidae.